GACGAACGCUGGCGGCGUGCCUAAUACAUGCAAGUUGAGCGAUGAAGAUUGGUGCUUGCACCAAUUUGAAGAGCAGCGAACGGGUGAGUAACGCGUGGGGAAUCUGCCUUUGAGCGGGGGACAACAUUUGGAAACGAAUGCUAAUACCGCAUAACAACUUUAAACAUAAGUUUUAAGUUUGAAAGAUGCAAUUGCAUCACUCAAAGAUGAUCCCGCGUUGUAUUAGCUAGUUGGUGAGGUAAAGGCUCACCAAGGCGAUGAUACAUAGCCGACCUGAGAGGGUGAUCGGGCACAUUGGGACUGAGACACGGCCCAAACUCCUACGGGAGGCAGCAGUAGGGAAUCUUCGGCAAUGGACGAAAGUCUGACCGAGCAACGCCGCGUGAGUGAAGAAGGUUUUCGGAUCGUAAAACUCUGUUGGUAGAGAAGAACGUUGGUGAGAGUGGAAAGCUCAUCAAGUGACGGUAACUACCCAGAAAGGAACGGCUAACUACGUG
Molecule: ribosomal RNA, 497 nt
Filed under: uncultured bacterium
Lineage: Bacteria
Description: partial 16S ribosomal RNA
Rfam family: Bacterial small subunit ribosomal RNA
Source: RNAcentral